This 63-nucleotide ribosomal RNA is filed under the name Verrucomicrobiota bacterium. RNAcentral's name for it is "Verrucomicrobia bacterium partial 23S ribosomal RNA". The record is from RNAcentral. Lineage: Bacteria; Pseudomonadati; Verrucomicrobiota.
GGUGUAAGUGCAGUAAUGUAUUUAGCUAAGUAAUACUAAUAACCCGUUUGGCUUGAUCAUUUA